UACGAAGGGGGCUAGCGUUGUUCGGAUUUACUGGGCGUAAAGCGCACGUAGGCGGCCAGGUAGGUCCGUUGUGAAAACUCGAGGCUCAACCUCGAGACGUCGGCGGAAACCCUCUGGCUAGAGUCCGGAAGAGGAGAGUGGAAUUCCGUGGUGUAGCGGUGAAAUGCGCAGAUAUCAGGAAGAACACCCGUGGCUAAGGCGGCUCUCUAGUACGGUACUGACGCUGAGACGCGAAAGCGUGGGGAGCGAACAGG
RNAcentral lists this ribosomal RNA (254 nucleotides) under uncultured bacterium. Its description in RNAcentral is "partial 16S ribosomal RNA". It matches the Rfam family "Bacterial small subunit ribosomal RNA", at positions 524 to 776 of the family's 1533-position model. The record is from RNAcentral.